UGCCGGAUCGUCUAACUGGCAGGACGCUGCGUUCUGGUCGCAGAAAUCCUGGUUCGAACCCAGGUCCGGCAG
This 72-nucleotide transfer RNA is filed under the name Parcubacteria group bacterium SW_6_46_9. RNAcentral's name for it is "tRNA-Gln". It matches the Rfam family "tRNA". Rfam says of the family: Transfer RNA (tRNA) molecules are approximately 80 nucleotides in length. Their secondary structure includes four short double-helical elements and three loops (D, anti-codon, and T loops). The record is from RNAcentral.